UACGGGGGGAGCAAGCGUUGUUCGGAUUCAGUGGGCGUAAAGGGUGCGUAGGCGGUUGGGUAAGCCCUCCGUGAAAUCUCCAGGCUUAACCUGGAAAGUGCAGAGGGGACUGCUCGGCUAGAGGAUGGGAGAGGAGCGCGGAAUUCCCGGUGUAGCGGUGAAAUGCGUAGAGAUCGGGAGGAAGGCCGGUGGCGAAGGCGGCGCUCUGGAACAUUUCUGACGCUGAGGCUCGAAAGCGUGGGGAGCAAACAGGAUUAGAUACCCUGGUAGUCCACGCCUUAAACGAUGGAUACUAAGUGUCGGCGGGUUACCGCCGGUGCCGCAGCUAACGCAGUAAGUAUCCCGCCUGGGAAGUACGGCCGCAAGGUUGAAACUUAAAGGAAUUGACGG
Molecule: ribosomal RNA, 390 nt
Filed under: uncultured bacterium
Lineage: Bacteria
Description: bacterial SSU rRNA
Rfam family: Bacterial small subunit ribosomal RNA
Source: RNAcentral